UCAACCAUUAUCCUGUAUUACUCAUCAAAUUCAGUGGAAAAAGGAGAGAGGAAGAUAAACAAGUACAGCAAAGAUAAUGGCUAAUAUGUGUUCACCUGGUAAGACCUCAUGGCCGGAGCUGCUCGGGGAGAAUGGGAAAGCUGCUGCAGCUCUCAUAGAGAAAGAGAACAAAGAUCUGCACGCUAUCGUGUUGAAGGAAGGAACUCCAGUGACGAAGGAUCUUAGGUGGGACAGAGUCCGGGUUUGGGUCGAUGAAUGUGGUGUGGUCAUUCUAGUUCCUACUAUUGGCUAAUGUUACGUAGUUUUACUUCAUCUCCAAAUAAAUCAUGGAAUGAUUUAAAUUAUAAUGAAAUAAAAAUUUCCUUCAAUAUCUAUGAAAGCUUGUAUUAGUAAUGUCAUCGAAUGAAUAUUAGAUGAAUUAUUGCGAUUGUAAUUUAAAAGUAUUUAAAUAAUUACUUAUCUAUUUAAUUCACCUCA
Jatropha curcas is the source of this 477-nucleotide non-coding RNA. The record is from RefSeq and is a predicted model, not a curated record. NCBI's taxonomy places the organism in Eukaryota, Viridiplantae, Streptophyta, Magnoliopsida, Malpighiales, Euphorbiaceae.